CGCUGGCAGUGUUGGUGACACUCACGUGGUGGUGGUGGCACCAGCACUGGCGGUGUC
This 57-nucleotide microRNA precursor is filed under the name Homo sapiens (human). RNAcentral describes it as "Hsa-Mir-9851_pre stem-loop". Lineage: Eukaryota; Metazoa; Chordata; Mammalia; Primates; Hominidae. The record is from RNAcentral.